GGCGGUGGCGGCGGCGGCGGCGGUGGUUGGGCGUCGCCCGCCGCACCGCCCGCCGCGCCGCCCGCGUCGUCCGGCGGCGGCGGUGGAGACUGGAAGAGCGACAUCGAUAAAAUGAUGGGUUUCGGCGAUCCGGGCCAGGGAAAAGGAGACAAGCCACCGCCGUACAACCCCAACUUUUAGCGCUCCCUCUCCGGGAGAGCUGGGGGCGCUGAUCGCCAGCCGGCCGGGACCGGUCCGUAGAGCUCCAGGAAGCGGUCGCCGUCCCUGGCUGCGCUGUUGUGGCUGCCGUAGCUUCGGUGGGCUGCGCAGCGGCCGCCGAAGACGCGGGAGCGCUGACGCCCCGGCUCGCCGCCGGCGGCUACCCCGCGCGCCUGCUCGCGGCCCGGGACGCCCGACGUGGGACCUCCAUCCCCAGGCCCCGGCUUGUCGCGAGUCUGUGUCGCCGCCCCAGCGGACGUGUCUGCCGGGCCGGCGGGAGCCAGCGUCGGGGUGCAUCGCGGGAUGGAGACGGUCCCCGAGCGACGCCGCGGGCCGGCGCC
Long non-coding RNA from Pollicipes pollicipes, 539 nucleotides. RefSeq lists it as uncharacterized. Lineage: Eukaryota; Metazoa; Arthropoda; Thecostraca; Pollicipedomorpha; Pollicipedidae. The record is from RefSeq and is a predicted model, not a curated record. The transcript has 3 exons.